UACGAAGGGGGCUAGCGUUGCUCGGAAUCACUGGGCGUAAAGGGUGCGUAGGCGGGUCUUUAAGUCAGGGUGAAAUCCUGGAGCUCAACUCCAGAACUGCCUUUGAUACUGAGGAUCUUGAGUUCGGGAGAGGUGAGUGGAACUGCGAGUGUAGAGGUGAAAUUCGUAGAUAUUCGCAAGAACACCAGUGGCGAAGGCGGCUCACUGGCCCGAUACUGACGCUGAGGCACGAAAGCGUGGGAGCAACAGG
This 250-nucleotide ribosomal RNA is filed under the name uncultured bacterium. RNAcentral describes it as "partial 16S ribosomal RNA". It matches the Rfam family "Bacterial small subunit ribosomal RNA", at positions 524 to 776 of the family's 1533-position model. The record is from RNAcentral.